RNAcentral lists this ribosomal RNA (35 nucleotides) under Symbiodinium sp. Three0410-5. RNAcentral describes it as "partial 28S ribosomal RNA". The record is from RNAcentral. Lineage: Eukaryota; Dinophyceae; Suessiales; Symbiodiniaceae.
CAGGUGCAUGCCUCUAGCAUGAAGUCAGACACGUG